CAGUCGCCGCGGGAAAACGGAGGGUGCAAGCGUUAAUCGGAAUUACUGGGCGUAAAGCGUGCGUAGGCGGUUCGUUAAGUCUGUUGUGAAAGCCCCGGGCUCAACCUGGGAAUGGCAAUGGAUACUGGCGAGCUAGAGUGUGUCAGAGGAUGGUGGAAUUCCCGGUGUAGCGGUGAAAUGCGUUGAGAUCGGAAAGAACACCAACGGCGAAAGCACUCUGCUGGGCCGACACUGACACUGAGAGACGAAAGCUAGGGGAGCAAAUGGGAUUAGAUACCCCAGUAGUUCCUGUCUCUUAUAC
Molecule: ribosomal RNA, 301 nt
Filed under: uncultured bacterium
Lineage: Bacteria
Description: partial 16S ribosomal RNA
Rfam family: Bacterial small subunit ribosomal RNA
Source: RNAcentral